CAGGGAAGGACUGAGCUAGAAGCUCCAAAUCCCGAUCGGUAACAAACAUCCGCUUCAGGUAAACCUUCUCGAGCCACGGGUAGGAGGUAGCCAUGGCCGUUACCCAAGGGGUGAAGUAAGCACCCCAAUUCGGAGGCAUCAGGUUAAAGUCGGCGAACCGCGGCUUCCCCUUGAGCACCACGGACCUCACCCGCCUGAACCGCUCGAUCGCGCGGCGAGGCGACACGGCGUAGCAGUUUCCGAUGAAGAGGUCGGAUCGGGUGAGCGCCUCCGCACGGUACCACGAUUUGCAGACCAGUGAGACCGCG
RNAcentral lists this long non-coding RNA (308 nucleotides) under Vitis vinifera (wine grape). RNAcentral describes it as "long non-coding RNA (VVIN_LNC005950)". Lineage: Eukaryota; Viridiplantae; Streptophyta; Magnoliopsida; Vitales; Vitaceae. The record is from RNAcentral.